Molecule: non-coding RNA, 944 nt
Organism: Paramuricea clavata
Lineage: Eukaryota; Metazoa; Cnidaria; Anthozoa; Malacalcyonacea; Plexauridae
Source: the annotation of a GenBank genome assembly
CGAGCUUGGAACAGCUGAUACUGACAUGAAGUAACGUAAACUUCAAAGGUUUUCCACAGGAACAUUUUCUCGAACCCCCCCUUUACUGUAGAUGUAUCAUUAUACCAAAAUUGGACGUCCUCUUUUAGGACCCUGGCUAAAAGCCUGAUUGUAAGUGCAACGCCAAAGAUCUUCGGCGUGAGUUUGGCACAUUACAAUACUAUCUACAGUAAAUAUUGGCAUAUCUUCAGCGUAGAGGUUGCAUGAAAUGCACCCUGGGCUUUAUAGCCACUGUCAUCUUCCUUUGAGUUCCUUUAAAUAGUUCCUAUCCAAAAUAGCUGUCAUGCUCCCUCCUGCCCAUUCCCCAUCCCACCAUGCCCCUCCCCACCACAUACGCGAGCAUAUACCCCUGACAUACGUUAUAAAUUUGUCUGUCGUUUCAACGUCACCAGAAUGUUUAUCAGGAUGCAAAGCUUUCGCUUUUAUCUUGUAUUCUGUAACAAUUUGUUCCUCGCUUGAUAAUUCAUCACAGUCUAGAAGAUUGUACAAAUAAUCUUUGUGUUCCACAUUUUCUGCGAUUUCCAUUCUAGAAUUCCUUGGCACGAACUCCCAAAAUUUCUUCAAGUCACCUUGGGUGCACAAAUAAGUUAAAUUCGAUAUCUACAUAAAUGGCCAGAUGGGAAAUUCUUCCGUCAGCAAACCUCGGCAUGAAUUAGAAGAAUAGACCUAAUGUUGACACGACCCAAGAAACUGGUGUCUAGUAAACAAACAAAAAUGAAAAAUUACAAAAUGGCAGAAAACCAAGUCGCAGGAAUGGCAGGAACGUCGACUGUAGUAACUGAAACUAGCUCGCAUAAUGAGGUUAGAAAGUUAUAUUUUCUUUUUAAUAAGUCGUUGUACCGGACUAGUAUGUGUAAUAUAACGAAUUUCUAAUGUAAAAAGGAUGGCUAACGUUUUAUAAACAG